GUCAGCUUCACGAAAGUUAACGUGUUUACUGUCGUUGAGAGAGGGAAGCUAUGUUUGACCAGAAAUCAUUUUUUUCCUCAGGUUUCAUUUGUUUUACUUUACGGUGGACACCACAGACAUAAUAAGAAAAGAACACAGAAGAGAAGAAUAUCCAGUCAGCUCCCUGCAGAAGUUAAAUGUGAAAAGAGCUAAAGAGGCGUGCCUGGCAAGUACAAGCAGGAGAGGACAGACGCAGAUACCGGCAAAAAUCGUCUUUCUUGAACGUCCUGGGAUCAUCGCCUCACUCAAAGAUGGCUUAGAGGCCAGGAAAAUCUCAAAGGACCAGCUGGACCCUCACAAGCUCAGUGUGCUCAUGGCAUGAUGAGCUUACCCCUGCGCCACCAACGACAUACCACACGGCAUCUGCCUAGUGACCUAAAAUACAAAUGUGUGAAAAAAGGUCACAGGAAAAUCCCCAGGUCACUGUGACCUUGUUUUGGCUACCUGCACGCUCAGGUAUCUGCUGUUCAAACAAACGCAAUGGACAAUGGCACGCAAAGACGGAUAGACACACACACAUAUUUGGCUGUACACACAAUCAGCUAUCAUCGGACCGCUGAUAAGAUGAGUGUUGGACAUUUUGACGCUAUGCAAGUCUCAGUCUCUCUACCAGUGGUGGCAGGUUGAAGGUCAGGCCAGUUUUAAAUUGAGUGUUUUCGCCAUGGUGUAUCCUUGGUCAGAGAGCCUCUUGACCUCCACAUCCUGUGUGGAACAAUAUCACUUUCACUGCUCAUCCUUUAAGCCAGCCAUCACUCUCCAAGCAUGACUGUGACUGAUUUCUGUGGGAAAAGCCUCCAUGUUGACAUUUGCCAGCAUUCACCCCUAUUUUUGUCUUUUAAUCCCCCCCCAACUCUCAAUUUGUAAAUAAAUGUCUCGAGGUCAACCGAUAGCACUGCUGACCUCUUCUUGUCCUCCUCUACGUCUAUUGCUCCCCCCACCACCGGUCCCAUCAGCUCCUCAGGAAGCUAAUAAUCUCCUUCCUGUAUUUGACACAGGAUGUGGUGGCCAGCGGAGCCCAUGUGUUAAAGGGGUGCAUGUUUGUUUACAUGUAUGCACAAGCCCAUGCACUUGUGCAGUCACAGACACAAAGCAGGAAAA
Micropterus dolomieu (smallmouth bass) is the source of this 1137-nucleotide long non-coding RNA. RefSeq lists it as uncharacterized. NCBI's taxonomy places the organism in Eukaryota, Metazoa, Chordata, Actinopteri, Centrarchiformes, Centrarchidae. The record is from RefSeq and is a predicted model, not a curated record. The transcript is spliced from 4 exons.